Molecule: small nucleolar RNA, 84 nt
Filed under: Triticum aestivum (bread wheat)
Lineage: Eukaryota; Viridiplantae; Streptophyta; Magnoliopsida; Poales; Poaceae
Source: RNAcentral
GCUCAGAUGAUGCUAAAACAACAAGUUAUUCCUGAGAUUUCUCUUUGAGGAUUACAAAAUCGAGCUUUUUAAAGCUGGUGGGCA